AGAGUUUGAUCCUGGCUCAGAUUGAACGCUGGCGGCAGGCUUAACACAUGCAAGUCGAGCGGUAGCACAGGGGAGCUUGCUCCCCGGGUGACGAGCGGCGGACGGGUGAGUAAUGUCUGGGAAACUGCCUGAUGGAGGGGGAUAACUACUGGAAACGGUAGCUAAUACCGCAUAACGUCGCAAGACCAAAGAGGGGGACCUUCGGGCCUCUUGCCAUCAGAUGUGCCCAGAUGGGAUUAGCUAGUAGGUGGGGUAAUGGCUCACCUAGGCGACGAUCCCUAGCUGGUCUGAGAGGAUGACCAGCCACACUGGAACUGAGACACGGUCCAGACUCCUACGGGAGGCAGCAGUGGGGAAUAUUGCACAAUGGGCGCAAGCCUGAUGCAGCCAUGCCGCGUGUGUGAAGAAGG
RNAcentral lists this ribosomal RNA (410 nucleotides) under uncultured bacterium. Its description in RNAcentral is "bacterial SSU rRNA". It matches the Rfam family "Bacterial small subunit ribosomal RNA", at positions 8 to 414 of the family's 1533-position model. The record is from RNAcentral.